RNAcentral lists this ribosomal RNA (678 nucleotides) under uncultured spirochete. RNAcentral's name for it is "bacterial SSU rRNA". It matches the Rfam family "Bacterial small subunit ribosomal RNA", at positions 59 to 726 of the family's 1533-position model. The record is from RNAcentral. Lineage: Bacteria; Pseudomonadati; Spirochaetota; Spirochaetia; Spirochaetales.
AAGUCGGACGGCAGCGGGGGGGUAACUCCNUGCGAGAGUGGCGAACGGGUGAGUAAGACGUGGGUGAUCUGUCCCGGUCACGGGGAUAGCCUGUGGAAACAUGGGGUAAUACCGGAUAAGCUCUGCGGGGUAAAGGCCGCGGAGGAAAGGCGCGUAUGCGCCGGAGAGGGAUGAGCCUGCGGUCCAUUAGCUUGUUGGCAGGGUAAGAGCCUACCAAGGCGACGAUGGAUAGCCGGCCUGAGAGGGUGAACGGCCACACUGGGACUGAGAUACGGCCCAGACUCCUACGGGAGGCAGCAGCUAAGAAUCUUCCGCAAUGGGCGAAAGCCUGACGGAGCGACGCCGCGUGGACGAAGAAGGCCGAAAGGUUGUAAAGUUCUUUUCUUUGCGAAGAAUAAGGGGAGGAGGGAAUGCCUUUCUGAUGACGUUAGCGAAGGAAUAAGCCCCGGCUAAUUACGUGCCAGCAGCCGCGGUAAUACGUAAGGGGCGAGCGUUGUUCGGAAUUAUUGGGUGUAAAGGGCGCGCAGGCGGCUCUGAAAGUCCGGUGUGAAAGGCCGCAGCUUAACUGCGGUUGUGCGCUGGAAACUACAGGGCUUGAGUGCAGGAGGGGGAGCUGGAAUUCCAGGUGUAGGGGUGAAAUCUGUAGAUAUCUGGAAGAACACCGGUGCGAAGGCGAGC